GGACAACAGUUGGAAACGACUGCUAAUACCGCAUAAUGUCUACGGACCAAAGGGGGCUUCGGCUCUCGCCUUUAGAUUGGCCCAAGUGGGAUUAGCUAGUUGGUGAGGUAAUGGCUCACCAAGGCGACGAUCCCUAGCUGGUUUGAGAGGAUGAUCAGCCACACUGGGACUGAGACACGGCCCAGACUCCUACGGGAGGCAGCAGUGGGGAAUAUUGCACAAUGGGCGCAAGCCUGAUGCAGCCAUGCCGCGUGUGUGAAGAAGGCCUUCGGGUUGUAAAGCACUUUCAGUCAGGAGGAAAGGUUAGUAGUUAAUACCUGCUAGCUGUGACGUUACUGACAGAAGAAGCACCGGCUAACUCCGUGCCAGCAGCCGCGGUAAUACGGAGGGUGCGAGCGUUAAUCGGAAUUACUGGGCGUAAAGCGUACGCAGGCGGUUUGUUAAGCGAGAUGUGAAAGCCCCGGGCUCAACCUGGGAACUGCAUUUCGAACUGGCAAACUAGAGUGUGAUAGAGGGUGGUAGAAUUUCAGGUGUAGCGGUGAAAUGCGUAGAGAUCUGAAGGAAUACCGAUGGCGAAGGCAGCCACCUGGGUCAACACUGACGCUCAUGUACGAAAGCGUGGGGAGCAAACGGGAUUAGAUACCCCGGUAGUCCACGCCGUAAACG
This 666-nucleotide ribosomal RNA is filed under the name uncultured bacterium. Its description in RNAcentral is "bacterial SSU rRNA". It matches the Rfam family "Bacterial small subunit ribosomal RNA", at positions 141 to 808 of the family's 1533-position model. The record is from RNAcentral.